Molecule: long non-coding RNA, 1087 nt
Organism: Oxyura jamaicensis (ruddy duck)
Lineage: Eukaryota; Metazoa; Chordata; Aves; Anseriformes; Anatidae
Exons: 3
Source: RefSeq, a predicted model, not a curated record
AUUUGAAGCACUUGCAAUAUCUCCUGGUAUACUGUGAAAAAUGUUGCUAUGUCUGGGAGGAUGACACAGUUCUGGGAGCAGGGCUUUUUGUGCAGGUGUGGAGUUUGCUCACUGAGAAUGUAAUUUUGAGCUAGAGAAUUCUCCCCUUGGAGAUGCUCAGGAGGUGGCAGCUUAGCCCUGCCAGCAAUCCUGCCCCAGCUCAGACAGCCCAGCCGGCCUGCCUCUCCCUCCAUGUGGUGUGCGUACAUAUACGCACACCUUCCUGCCUGCAUGCAACUCUCCUGUCAGAGGAUCCUGUCCUUGAACUGAACAAAGCCCUCACAAGCCAUGCCAUGAGUUGAGUCGCUUACCUCUGUCUCGGGAGGAGUUUAUCUCCCUUGACAAGAUUUUGUCUGGUGUUAGCGGCGGGGCUGGUGACAGGCUGUGCAUGCAGCAGCAUGCGACCCCGGCUCCUGGCCUCGGCGCGGGCAGUCGUCAGAGCUGUCACGCAGUCAGAACAAGUUAAUUCAACGCGUGAAGGGCGAGGUGCGAGCUGUAAUAAUAUCAGGCCUCUGGAGAGGGUGCUGUCAGACAGCGUGUACUGGCGGCUGCCCCAGCUGCUGCCUCCCGCCUACGAGGAUGCAAGCUGACAGGUGGCAGGUUUAUUUGCCCGUAGUCGGCCGGGGAGCACGCGUGUUAAUUUUCUGUCUGUUUGGCAGAGCUGGUGAUACCGCUCGCUGCAUGCCUCUCACCUGGCAAGAGCGCCUGAGGAAGCAGGACGUGCUUGACGUGGUGGCCGAGGGGCUGUGGUGGCCAGGGCCCCGGUCUGCUGUGGCUAGUGGGCUGGGCCGCUGCCCAGUUUUCGUGCCCUGCUCCUCUUCCCUCACGCAGACUACCCUGGCUUUAUAAUCUGCUCUUCCUUUUCUGACAGGAGGCUGGUGUUUUUGGAGGCUAGCUGCCUUUAAAAGUUUCUGGGCAGCUGGCCCUCCUUGCUUGUGUUGGUGUGUACUGUGUAAGUAUACCAACUAUCCACAUAUACGCACAUCGUUUCUUGAGUAUUUUCAGCUCUGCAUCAGGCAAAGUGAAGCAGUCUCUGCCUGUAAAGUGU